AACUGGCUAUUGAAUAAUAAAGAGUGAAUAGCCCUGAACAAUUUAAGAAGCCCCAAGUUUCAAACAAAAAGAAAAACCCUAUAUAGUUUCCACUAUGAACCCUAGAACUCAGUCUUGAAAAGGUCAAUUUGAGCCAACGCCCUUUGGCUCAAGGAUGGAGUGGCAUUGGGCCCUUUCCACUUUUUCUAUGAUCUCCUUGUCCGACUUGCAUGCUUCAUGCUCAUGGGUAUAACCAUAAAUUUGACGAAUCAGAAAUCGAUGCUACUGCUAGUAUCGUCGACGAGCUUGCCACUAGUGUUACAUAUAAUGAUGGAAAAUCUUAGUUCAGUUCGUGCACUCUGAUGCUAGGUGAGUGGCGGCAAUUCCGACCAAUCAAAAACCAACUUGAUUGCCACCUUCUCUAGUAGCCAACAGUACGUGCUUGGCAGAUAUAUUCUUCUCUCCCAACUGGAAUAAGCAUCACUGAUUGAUUGGGCACCAUUGCCAUAAGGUUCCAAUCGAGGGAGUUGGGUGAGCUAUCAGGUGAGUUGCUCAUCAUGGAUCACAUAUCCAACUUUGCAUCUCCAUAUAAAAUAGCGGUCACCAUUAUCAUCUUUUGAGUAAUUCUGCCAAAAUUGCCUUGAUGGCCAUGCUUCUGACAUAAGUGACUCCAAUUCAACAAAAAUUACUCAAAAUUAAAUGGAAAAUGGGACACUAGAGGGCAUAUACUGAUAUCAAUUUGGAGAGGUAUCUCUGGUUGUAAACCAUAUCUGGAAAGGAAUUUGAGAAUUAUAGUGGGGCAAGGAGAAUAUGUACUGUUCUGGCAACACAAGAGGCUUGGUGAAUGUGCUUUGAAGCACCAAUAUCCAGCAAUAUAUGAUCAAUCAAUUCAGCAUAGUGAGUGACAUGUUGAAGGCACAGGAAGAGCUAAUGAGGUAGAGAUGGUGGCGGUAUUAGAAGUACUAAAGAUAUGGAGAUGGGUAUUGUGGUUGUUGUAGGAGACUCAAUAAAUGCUAUUAAAUGCUGUCAAACAUAAUAAAAAGUGCUUAGAACGAUUUUGUUUCAAAUACCUGAUUUUUGUGACAUGGUGGCUGUUUUAUUUGUACAUGUAUAUAUGGAUGCAAAUGGUAAGCUGAUG
Molecule: long non-coding RNA, 1117 nt
Filed under: Amborella trichopoda
Lineage: Eukaryota; Viridiplantae; Streptophyta; Magnoliopsida; Amborellales; Amborellaceae
Description: long non-coding RNA (ATRI_LNC002658)
Source: RNAcentral